RNAcentral lists this ribosomal RNA (406 nucleotides) under uncultured bacterium. Its description in RNAcentral is "partial 16S ribosomal RNA". It matches the Rfam family "Bacterial small subunit ribosomal RNA", at positions 29 to 526 of the family's 1533-position model. The record is from RNAcentral.
AUUGAACGCUGGCGGCAGGCUUAACACAUGCAAGUCGAGCGAGCGGCGGACGGGUGAGUAAUGUCUGGGAAACUGCCUGAUGGAGGGGGAUAACUACUGGAAACGGUAGCUAAUACCGCAUACCAUCAGAUGUGCCCAGAUGGGAUUAGCUAGUAGGUGGGGUAAUGGCUCACCUAGGCGACGAUCCCUAGCUGGUCUGAGAGGAUGACCAGGCAAACUGGAACUGAGACAAGGUCCAGAAUCCUAAGGGAGGGAGGAGGGGGGAAUAUUGCAAAAUGGGCGCAAGCCUGAUGCAGCCAUGCCGCGGGUGUGAAGAAGGGCUUAGGGUUGUAAAGCACUUUCAGGGGGGAGGCGUUACUCGCAGAAGAAGCACCGGCUAACUCCGUGCCAGCAGCCGCGGUAAUAC